CGGUGUGAGUAACGCGUGGGUAACCUGCCUCAUACAGGGGGAUAACAGUUAGAAAUGACUGCUAAUACCGCAUAAGACCACAGCACUGCAUGGUGCAGUGGUAAAAACUCCGGUGGUAUGAGAUGGACCCGCGUCUGAUUAGCCAGUUGGCAGGGUAACGGCCUACCAAAGCGACGAUCAGUAGCCGGCCUGAGAGGGUGAACGGCCACAUUGGGACUGAGACACGGCCCAAACUCCUACGGAAGGCAGCAG
This 252-nucleotide ribosomal RNA is filed under the name uncultured bacterium. RNAcentral's name for it is "partial 16S ribosomal RNA". It matches the Rfam family "Bacterial small subunit ribosomal RNA", at positions 100 to 354 of the family's 1533-position model. The record is from RNAcentral.